GCGGACGUGGUGCAUGGUGCAUCGCUGCACUUAAUAGGGAGAGGGUAAUGUUUAUAUGCAGCUGUUGGGGUUCGACUCCCCGCGUCCGCA
Molecule: non-coding RNA, 90 nt
Organism: Mycena leptocephala
Lineage: Eukaryota; Fungi; Basidiomycota; Agaricomycetes; Agaricales; Mycenaceae
Source: the annotation of a GenBank genome assembly